RNAcentral lists this small RNA (748 nucleotides) under Pan troglodytes (chimpanzee). RNAcentral's name for it is "retained intron". Lineage: Eukaryota; Metazoa; Chordata; Mammalia; Primates; Hominidae. The record is from RNAcentral.
CCGGGAAGGAGAGCUCUCUGGGGGGGUCUUUAGGCCCAGGGGUGGCUCACUGCGUUCCCUCCCCAAGCCUGCCGCACCAACCCGUGCCUCCAUGGGGGUCGCUGCCUAGAGGUGGAGGGCCACCGCCUGUGCCACUGCCCGGUGGGCUACACCGGACGCUUCUGCGACGUGGGAACCCGGACAACGACAUCCGCCCGUGGUGCUUCGUGCUGAACCGCGACCGGCUGAGCUGGGAGUACUGCGACCUGGCACAGUGCCAGACCCCAACCCAGGCGGCGCCUCCGACCCCGGUGUCCCCUAGGCUUCAUGUCCCACUCAUGCCCGCGCAGCCGGCACCGCUGAAGCCUCAGCCCGCGACCCGGACCCCGCCUCAGUCCCAGACCCCGGGAGCCUUGCCGGCGAAGCGGGAGCAGCCGCCUUCCCUGACCAGGAACGGCCCACUGAGCUGCGGGCAGCGGCUCCGCAAGAGUCUGUCUUCGAUGACCCGCGUCGUUGGCGGGCUGGUGGCGCUACGCGGGGCGCACCCCUACAUCGCCGCGCUGUACUGGGGCCACAGUUUCUGCGCCGGCAGCCUCAUCGCCCCCUGCUGGGUGCUGACGGCCGCUCACUGCCUGCAGGACCGACCCGCACCCGAGGAUCUGACGGUGGUGCUCGGCCAGGAACGCCAUAACCACAGCUGUGAGCAGUGCCAGACGUUGGCCGUGCGCUCCUACCGCUUGCACGAGGCCUUCUCGCCCGUCAGCUACCA